This 29-nucleotide non-coding RNA is filed under the name Rattus norvegicus (Norway rat). Lineage: Eukaryota; Metazoa; Chordata; Mammalia; Rodentia; Muridae. The record is from RNAcentral.
UCUCUUCACAGUAAUGGAAANCCUAAGAC